This 253-nucleotide ribosomal RNA is filed under the name uncultured bacterium. RNAcentral describes it as "partial 16S ribosomal RNA". It matches the Rfam family "Bacterial small subunit ribosomal RNA", at positions 524 to 776 of the family's 1533-position model. The record is from RNAcentral.
UACGAAGGGGGCUAGCGUUGCUCGGAAUUACUGGGCGUAAAGCGCACGUAGGCGGAUUGUUAAGUCGGGGGUGAAAUCCUGGAGCUCAACUCCAGAACUGCCUUCGAUACUGGCGAUCUCGAGUUCGGGAGAGGUGAGUGGAACUGCGAGUGUAGAGGUGAAAUUCGUAGAUAUUCGCAAGAACACCAGUGGCGAAGGCGGCUCUCUGGGACGGUACUGACGCUGAGACGCGAAAGCGUGGGGAGCGAACAGG